AUCCCAUAAUGAGGACACUUACAAAGAAAAUCUUUGAAUCUUUCUCAUGCUUUGUAUAAGGACUCAUCAUCCAAUUGUUGAAAAGUAGUUAUCUCAUUUUGCAACU
Gossypium hirsutum (cotton) is the source of this 106-nucleotide non-coding RNA. The record is from Rfam. Lineage: Eukaryota; Viridiplantae; Streptophyta; Magnoliopsida; Malvales; Malvaceae.